CUUUUUUUUUUUGAUAAAUUCGGGAUCGGGUGUUAGGAACAAUGCCUUUGUGAUUCUCAUUUUUGACCACACAAUUUUGUUUUUUCUCGGUUUCACCCUGUCACUUAAAUACAUGACACGCAUCACUAUUAAACCGAUUAUCAUUCCUCUUUGCCUUCGUCUUUCCCUUAAUUUUUGUUUUCUUCUUCGUCUUUUCUUUGCUUCCAAGAACUUUGUGGUUUCUCGGUGCAGUGAUUUUUGAGGUUUCGCAACGACGCGGACGGUUGUUUCGUCACACCCAACCAUCGGUUUCAAGCAGAUAUCUAUUUUGAUUUGGGAGUUGAGUAUGUUAUCUAUGUUCUGUACGUGGUCAUACCUGUUUUUUUUUAUGCUUAGAAGCAAUUCUCUGUUUCGAUUUUGGGUUAGUUGUUUUUUUUUUUCAAUUUUUGGUCUCGGGCUCCACCAUCAAUCACUUUGGGUUAGGGUUGGAUUUACUUUCACUAUUUAUGAAUUGUCUAAUUUUGGUCUCAGAUACGUAGUAUCAGUAUUACAAAUUGUAUCAAUUGUUCAUCUAAUUAGGAUAGCAAUCUUGAUAUACCUAUUCCUUCUAUCAAGGUGACGAUCCUUCAAUUUCAGAUUAGCACUUAAAAUCUGAAGGUAAGAUGUAGAGGUUAAGGUAUAGAAGAUGGGUGAAUUUCAGAGGUCUGUUGUUUGUAGAAUUGCUUCCUUAAGUAUCUGUUGUUUCGUUUCUUUCAUGUCUGUUGGUGUGUUCCAUAUUUUUGUUUAUUCUGAUGAUGUUUUUUUGUGCUUUGCAGGUUAUAUAGUGUAUCUGUGUGAUUUUUGUUGUCAAUCUGCUUACUCUGGCUUUACUAACAUCCCAUGGUUUUGGUUACAAAUUGUAAAAAAAAAUAAAAAAAACUGUCCAUCAAUUGUUAAAGGACUUUACAUGGUCUUUGUUACACAGAGAAAUUUCAUUUCUUUCAACAUAGAGUUCUCAAAGAAGGUCUAUGUAUGAUUUACCUUUUAUACUUCCACAAUUGUGAAUUGAUGUGUUGUAUCUAGGCCUUUAAUGGUAGGAAAAAUGAGUUUCAACAAUGUGAGGAUACCUGGGAUGCCUAAUGGUAGUGCAGCUUCUGCAUUGCUAAAGUUUGGAGACAUUGUUGGUAUUGUAUAGUAUGCUUAAAGAAUGAUAGUCAAUGCAAGGAAGAAAACAGAGCAUUGGUGGAGGUUACACAUCAUCACCCACCAUUUACACUUCCUUUUACACGACGUGAUGAAAUCUCUGUAUGAAUGGAAAGAAAACAAACUGACAUAAAGUUAUAGGAGGGGACUCUAGGUCAUUUUGUAUUUAUUUAUUUACAGAAAGUUAUUUAGCUAAAAUAAUCUAA
Non-coding RNA from Lactuca sativa (garden lettuce), 1367 nucleotides. The record is from RefSeq and is a predicted model, not a curated record. Lineage: Eukaryota; Viridiplantae; Streptophyta; Magnoliopsida; Asterales; Asteraceae.